Molecule: ribosomal RNA, 497 nt
Filed under: uncultured bacterium
Lineage: Bacteria
Description: partial 16S ribosomal RNA
Rfam family: Bacterial small subunit ribosomal RNA
Source: RNAcentral
GAUGAACGCUGGCGGCGUGCCUAAUACAUGCAAGUCGAGCGAACAGACGAUGAGCUUGUUCCCUUGACGUUAGCGGCGGACGGGCGAGUAACACGUGCAUAACCUACCUCUAUUUCUUGGAUAACUUCGGGGAACCGGUUCUAAUACUGGAUAAUAUAUUCAACCGCAUGGAUCAAUAGAUCAUGGCGCUUUUGCUGUUUCUUAUAGCUGGUUCCGCGUCGCAUUAGCUAGUUGGUAAGGUAAAGGCUUACCAAGGAGACGAAGCGUAGCCGACCUGAGAGGAUGAUCAGCCACACGGGAACUGAGACACGGUCCAGACUCCUACGGGAGGCAGCAGGGGGGAAUAUUGGACAAGGGGCGCAAGCCUGAGCCAGCCAUACCGCGUGGGUGAAGAAGGCCUUCGGGUUGUAAAGCCUUUUUGUGGGGAAAGAAAAGAAGCAGGUUAAUACCCCGCUGUUCUGACGGUACCAAAAGAAUAAGCACCGGCUAACUUCGUG